RNAcentral lists this ribosomal RNA (253 nucleotides) under uncultured bacterium. RNAcentral's name for it is "partial 16S ribosomal RNA". It matches the Rfam family "Bacterial small subunit ribosomal RNA", at positions 524 to 776 of the family's 1533-position model. The record is from RNAcentral.
UACGUAGGGGGCGAGCGUUGUCCGGAUUUAUUGGGCGUAAAGAGCGUGUAGGCGGCCAGGUAGGUCUGCUGUGAAAACUCGAGGCUCAACCUCGAGACGUCGGCGGAAACCAUCUGGCUAGAGUCCGGAAGAGGAGAGUGGAAUUCCUGGUGUAGCGGUGAAAUGCGCAGAUAUCAGGAAGAACACCCGUGGCGAAGGCGGCUCUCUGGGACGGUACUGACGCUGAGACGCGAUAGCGUGGGGAGCGAACAGG